GACGAACGCUGGCGGCGUGCUUAACACAUGCAAGUCGAACGGAAAGGCCCUGCUUUUGUGGGGUGCUCGAGUGGCGAACGGGUGAGUAACCCGUGAGUAACCUGCCCUUGACUUUGGGAUAACUUCAGGAAACUGGGGCUAAUACCGCAUAGGAGCUCCUGCUGCAUGGUGGGGGUUGGAAAGUUUCGGCGGUGGGGGAUGGACUCGCGGCUUAUCAGCUUGUUGGUGGGGUCGUGGCUUACCAAGGCUUUGACGGGUAGCCGGCCUGAGAGGGUGACCGGCCACAUUGGGACUGAGAUGCGGCCCAGACUCCUACGGGAGGCAGCAGUGGGGAAUAUUGCACAAUGGGCGGAAGCAUGAUGCAGCAACGCCGCGUGCGGGAUGACGGCCUUCGGGGUGUAAACCGCUUUCGCCUGUGACGAAGCGUGAGUGACGGUAAUGGGUAAAGAAGCACCGGCUAACUACGUG
RNAcentral lists this ribosomal RNA (468 nucleotides) under uncultured bacterium. RNAcentral's name for it is "partial 16S ribosomal RNA". It matches the Rfam family "Bacterial small subunit ribosomal RNA", at positions 28 to 507 of the family's 1533-position model. The record is from RNAcentral.